Molecule: ribosomal RNA, 557 nt
Filed under: uncultured bacterium
Lineage: Bacteria
Description: partial 16S ribosomal RNA
Rfam family: Bacterial small subunit ribosomal RNA
Source: RNAcentral
UGGGGAAUUUUGGACAAUGGGCGAAAGCCUGAUCCAGCAAUGCCGCGUGUGAAGAAGGCCUUCGGGUUGUAAAGCACUUUUGUCCGGAAAGAAAUCCUUGGCUCUAAUACAGUCGGGGGAUGACGGUACCGGAAGAAUAAGCACCGGCUAACUACGUGCCAGCAGCCGCGGUAAUACGUAGGGUGCAAGCGUUAAUCGGAAUUACUGGGCGUAAAGCGUGCGCAGGCGGUUUGCUAAGACCGAUGUGAAAUCCCCGGGCUUAACCUGGGAACUGCAUUCGUGACUGCAAGGCUAGAGUAUGGCAGAGGGGGGUAGAAUUCCACGUGUAGCAGUGAAAUGCGUAGAGAUGUGGAGGAAUACCGAUGGCGAAGGCAGCCCCCUGGGCCAAUACUGACGCUCAUGCACGAAAGCGUGGGGAGCAAACAGGAUUAGAUACCCUGGUAGUCCACGCCCUAAACGAUGUCAACUAGUUGUUGGGGAUUCAUUUCCUUAGUAACGUAGCUAACGCGUGAAGUUGACCGCCUGGGGAGUACGGUCGCAAGAUUAAAACUCAAAUG